Molecule: small nuclear RNA, 106 nt
Organism: Cynocephalus volans (Philippine flying lemur)
Lineage: Eukaryota; Metazoa; Chordata; Mammalia; Dermoptera; Cynocephalidae
Source: RefSeq, a predicted model, not a curated record
GUGCUCACUUUGGCAGCACAUCUACUAAAUUGGAACAAUACAGAGAAGACUAGCAUGGCUCCUGCGCAAGGAUGACAUGCAAAUUCGUGACAUGUUCCACAUUUAA